Molecule: transfer RNA, 75 nt
Filed under: Tenericutes bacterium HGW-Tenericutes-5
Lineage: Bacteria; Bacillati; Mycoplasmatota
Description: tRNA-Gln
Rfam family: tRNA
About the family: Transfer RNA (tRNA) molecules are approximately 80 nucleotides in length.
Source: RNAcentral
UGGGCCAUGGCCAAGUGGUUAAGGCAUCGGACUCUGACUCCGAGACCGAGAGUUCGAAUCUCUCUGGCCCUGCCA